Non-coding RNA from Pundamilia nyererei, 408 nucleotides. Lineage: Eukaryota; Metazoa; Chordata; Actinopteri; Cichliformes; Cichlidae. The record is from the annotation of a RefSeq genome assembly.
AUGUUUUUAAAUGACAUAUAGAUGUUAAUAAUUGCUGUAUGUGUCGUGAUGUCUGUGCAAAGAUUUGAUCUGCUUGACUCGCCCAUUACAGAGGACAUAGGAACCGGCGACUUCAUUCUUGAGAAGUUUGAUGGAUCUGUUGCAGAAGGAGGAACCAUCAACCUGACCUGUAUAUAUGAUGGUCUUAUCAACAACAUCCAGUGGUACCGACAAUACCAGAGAUCCAGACCAGAGUUCCUGCUCUACAUCAUGGAGGGAGGAUCAGUUCAUCAAACUGUGUCGGGUUUCUCGGCUCACACUGACCAAACUAAGAAAAGUGUAGAUCUGGAGAGCUCUGGAUUUAAUGACUCUGCUGUGUACUGCUGUGCUGUCAAGCCCACAGUGACAGGGAACACCAGAACUGUAUAA